Long non-coding RNA from Poecilia latipinna (sailfin molly), 2787 nucleotides. RefSeq lists it as uncharacterized. The transcript is spliced from 3 exons. The record is from RefSeq and is a predicted model, not a curated record. Lineage: Eukaryota; Metazoa; Chordata; Actinopteri; Cyprinodontiformes; Poeciliidae.
ACGUUUACUGCUGAACAGAAUCCGGCUUUUUCCUUCAUGUGGACAAAACUGGACAACACGUCUCUUUACUUAAGACCUCAGCUGGAUCUAUGUCUGGGGUCGCAGGUCGGCAGCCAGGGAGACCCAGGUUUCCCCCAGCCUCCUGGUCCGGCUCCUCCAGGAAUCCCAAGGCGUUCCCAGCAGGGGAACAUCGUCCUGGUCUUCCUCUGGGUUUCCUCCCAGGUGGCCUGAAUGCCUCGCCUGGCUCCUCAGUGAGGAGGAGCAGCAGCUCUACUCCGAGUUUCUGUCUCCAAGGGAGCCCAGACUCCCUGCAGCUGUGAUCCGCUCCAGUGACACAGGAGCGGAUCACAACAGAACCAACAGAACCACAUACUGGAUCCCAACAGCACCAAAAUGAUCCUACAAGGUCUUCCCACAACUUCUAAACGAUUCCAACAGUGUCACCAGAUGUGCUGUGUGACCCGGUGAAGGUGCAGCCGCUUCCAGACCUGCAGGACUUAAACCAGGACUUGGUGAAUCUGAAGCUCUCAGCUCCAGGCGUUCUGGUUUGGACUUGUUAGGGUCACCUGUCAUCAUUUUCCAGUCUCUUCUGAAAUAAAAUCACUUAAACAUUCAUUACUUCUGAAGCUCAUUGAUUCUCAGGCAUUACCUACAUCUGCUGAGUCAGGAGAAUGACUUCCUGUUUUUAAUAUGCUAAGUUUCUGAUAUGGGUGCUGGUUCUGUAGCUUUUUUUAACUCCUCAUCUAGCACUGGGCUCCUAAACUCCAGAACUCGGGGCCCGGCAUCCUGCGACUUGUAGAUGUGUCCCUGCUCCAACACACCGACUCUAAAGCUGAAUCACUUCCUCGGUGCAGUCGGUUCUCCAUGGUAACGGCCUCAUUACUCGACUCAGGUGUGUUGAAGCAGAAACCCGUCUACAGCUGCAGGACUCCAGCCGUCCAGGCCUGGAUUUGAGGAUCAUUGGUUCGUAGUUUACUUUUGUGAAGUCAUCAGCUGCAACAAGCUUGAACUGCACAAAGAUAAUCUCUGUCCUAAUCAAAGUCACUGACGUAGUUUGGAUAGAGCAGUGGGCUGAUAGAGAAGGCUGGUUCUGUUCUGGAGAUAAUGGUGAGAAGAAUGAUUCUUCAUAAACUGAAGACGGUUACAGACAACCCUGAGCCCUCAUAAGACUGAGUAAACAGAGUGUCUUCAGUCAGAGGCUUCUUCAGAUUCGCUGUAAUACAGACUGCACCAGAGAUCUUUCCUGCCAACAGUCAUCACCAUCUACAAUAACUCUUUGAAGAGUCUGAAUUAAUGAGCUCCAGCAGAAGGAGCUCGUAAGUGUGGAUCUCGUCCUGUGCAUUUGUGGAUCUUUUGCAUUUGUGAAUUAUGAGACAGUUUUAGCUCCAUACAGCUGAGCCAACCGCCAAUAAAAAUCAAGAAGAGCAGAGCGUGCUGUGGAGCUGACCUGAUGCGCUAUAUGUGAAUCAACAUGUUUUGUUUGAACUGGGCUAAUCGUUGCCAUCAUAAACCUUUGGUUCACGGUAAAAUAAAACUAAGCUUUUCUUAACAAACACAAGAUGAGAGCACAAUGAGCAGCUACAGAAUUAGUCAGAGUGAGAGAAAUAGUAACUGGAUGGUUAAAAUAAACUCAUUGUAAAUAAAUAUGUUUUGGAAUUAACUGGUAAUCAUGGGGUUGUAUUUUCAAAGAUAGAUAUGAGUUUGGGCGUAUUGAAGUUUCUCACAAUACAUGGAGUCACUCAAUGACAGGAAAACUGAAUUAAGAAGAACAUGGACUGAAAGUGCUGAGGAUGGAGAGAUAGUUUCUUCUGUUCGUUUAGCUCUUUUUUUUGCUAAAUAUGGCAUUUUUAACAUUUCAUCAGCUGAUGAAAAAGGUUAAUAUUUAUACUAAGAUUUUACUAGGAUGAAUCCAGCUCCUCAUCUCAAAAUAACCAAUUUCUAAAAGAAAACAAAUCUAAUUUUGUUUAUUAAAUUGUACAUUUUCAGUAUGUUAUAAACAUUCUAAUGUUUUGAGGAGAUUGUGAUGAUAUUAUGUCUCUGAGAAUAGUGGCAGACUGAUAAAAGAUGAGACGGGAGGAAGAUAGUCUGAUAAACUGAAAGAAUGAAGAAAACUGACAAAGCUGAAGAGAAGAAAUGUAAACAUAUUAUUAUUUAAUUGUGUCUUAUAUGUUGUAUUUUAAGUGUUUCUCAGUUUUUCACAGAAUCUUUUCUGCUCUUGUUCUAUCCAGACCUCUAUGAUCAUGUGGCUGAUGGAUCUUCAGACCGAGGAGGGUUUGCAGAUCCAAAGAUCAGCUUCCUGACCAGAGUUCACUCAUCUCAAACACACACAAUGUCCUUGCAUAUCAGCUACAUAACUUUAUAUACAGACCUCAUGUAUUUAUGGACACUUAUGUGUCCAUUCAUGCACAACAUUCAAUUGUGGCCAAAGUUGUUGGUACCUUUAGUUAAUGAGUAAAAAAACCACAAUGGUCACUGAAACAACCUGAAACUGACUAAAGUAAUAAAUCAAAAUUUACUGAAAAUUAACCAAUAAAAAUCAGACACUGUUUUUAAUUAAGGUUCAACAGAAUAAUAAAAUGACACACCAAGAUGACUACAGUUGCACAGAUUAUUCUGAAACUUAAGGUCCACAGGACUGGAGCCAAUCUGCCUGGCUGCGUCCGCACGAAGAAAAUGGACAAAUUCAAGAUGGUCACUAAAAGUCCAGAACAACCAAGUCCAGAAAGUAAAGGUGAACUCCAAGGUCAAGACGGACUUCAUGUGAGACCAAGGAGGAAAGAAAAUCAU